RNAcentral lists this ribosomal RNA (535 nucleotides) under uncultured delta proteobacterium. RNAcentral's name for it is "bacterial SSU rRNA". It matches the Rfam family "Bacterial small subunit ribosomal RNA", at positions 44 to 553 of the family's 1533-position model. Lineage: Bacteria; Deltaproteobacteria. The record is from RNAcentral.
GUGCUUAACACAUGCAAGUCGAACGAGAAAGGGUUCUUCGGAACCUGAGUAAAGUGGCGCACGGGUGAGUAACGCGUGGAUAAUCUACCCCCGAAUCUGGGAUAACAGUUCGAAAGGGCUGCUAAUACCGGAUGACAUCGGAAUCACUUUGGCGAUUUUGAUCAAAGAGGGCCUCUUCUUGAAAGCUCUUGUUUGGGGAUGAGUCCGCGUCCCAUUAGCUUGUUGGUGGGGUAACGGCCUACCAAGGCUGCGAUGGGUAGCUGGUCUGAGAGGAUGAUCAGCCACACUGGGACUGACACACGGCCCAGACUCCUACGGGAGGCAGCAGUGAGGAAUUUUGCGCAAUGGGGGAAACCCUGACGCAGCAACGCCGCGUGAGUGAUGAAGGCUUUCGGGUCGUAAAGCUCUGUCAAGUGGGAAGAAACCUUGCACGAUUAAGAGUCGUGCGAAUUGACGGUACCACUGAAGGAAGCACCGGCUAACUCCGUGCCAGCAGCCGCGGUAAUACGGAGGGUGCAAGCGUUAUUCGGAAUUA